RNAcentral lists this long non-coding RNA (513 nucleotides) under Capsicum annuum. Its description in RNAcentral is "long non-coding RNA (CANN_LNC017416)". Lineage: Eukaryota; Viridiplantae; Streptophyta; Magnoliopsida; Solanales; Solanaceae. The record is from RNAcentral.
CCUCCAAUAUCAAGUUUGGAUUCAUUUAUCCUUCCAACCAAUCCAUUAAACCAAAUUGAGCCAUAGACAUAAAUAAUCAUCAAUUCAAUAGUAUAUCACCAUAUCCACCUUCCAUAACUCAAUUACCAUAUCCACCUUCCACAAUUCAAUACAACCAAACCAUGCAAAAUAGUCCAUAACCCUAUUUUCAUCACCUUUCAAUAACAACCAAUACAUAUAAUCCUCUAUCACACAUAUACAUAUGGAAAAGAACAAAGGCAAAUAAUAUUCAUACCUUAGAAUUCACCUCUUGAUUAUGCAAUCCUGUUUGCACAAAUAAUAGGUGUCGUUCGAAGCUCUCGAGAUGACAAACGCAGUUAUCGGAUUACUUUGGAAUUUCUACGGUUGAAUCAAAAGUAAUUUAAAGGUCAAAUUUGGCUAGGGUUUGUUCUUUCUCAAUGAUUGAUGAUGAAAAUGAGUUUUUGAACUCAUAUACAUGUAUAUAUACACAUAUUCCCGUCCAUAAUAUAAUAG